AAUGAAGAGAGAAAAUACUAGAAGAAGUUUCGGCAGAAAGGGGAAAGGAGUAGCCGUCAGAAAACUUGAGAAAUUAGGGAGAGGGUGCCGAAAUUAUGAAAGAAGAAAAAAAAGAAUAGAGGUAACAAUCAGAUUUUUAUAAACUUCCCCCCAAUCCCCUAACUUUCUCCCAUAUCCCUAACUUCCCUCCUAAAAAAUCACCCAACACACUCCCAAUAACCCUCAAAUUCCCCCAAACUGUCCACCCUAAUCUCUUCAACAACCGAAUUUCCCACUCCAACUCUACAGAAUUUUGGUCAAACUACAACACCCACACAGCACAAGCAGUAAAAAUAAAUCCCAUGAUUGGGCAAGUAUUCGAACUCCAGACCUCUUGCUCAUUUGCCCUCCACUUAAC
This 397-nucleotide long non-coding RNA is filed under the name Gossypium raimondii (Peruvian cotton). Its description in RNAcentral is "long non-coding RNA (GRAI_LNC005365)". Lineage: Eukaryota; Viridiplantae; Streptophyta; Magnoliopsida; Malvales; Malvaceae. The record is from RNAcentral.